Sapajus apella (tufted capuchin) is the source of this 3568-nucleotide long non-coding RNA. RefSeq lists it as uncharacterized. The transcript is spliced from 2 exons. The record is from RefSeq and is a predicted model, not a curated record. Lineage: Eukaryota; Metazoa; Chordata; Mammalia; Primates; Cebidae.
UGACAUAAGAUUUAUUGACUUUAUAUCAGCAUUUAAGUGUUGUUAACUUUAUGUAAUAGCAUUUAGGUUAAGGAUUAGUGCACUUCCUGUUUGUAUAAAGAAUAGCUGUAUUAUGUUAGGCAUAAUUAUGACCUUAUUAUUGAUUGUCUUAUUUGAAGAUUGUGUAUGAGUCCAGGAGAUGUGUACGGGUUCAAGUUGACAAAGGGUGAACUCGUGAUAGUUAAUAUUGAAUGUCAACUUGAUUGGAUUGAAGGAUGCAAAGUAUCAUUCCUGGGUGUGUCUGUGAGGGCGUUACCAAAGGAGAUUAACAUUUGAGUCAGUGGACUGGGAGAGGCUGACCCGCUCUCAAUCUUGGUGGUAUGGUACCAUCUAAUCAGCCUCCAGCAUAGCUAGAAUAAAGCAGCUAGAAGUUGGAAGACUUGCUGAGUCUUCCAGCCUUUAUCUUUCUUCUGGACUGGAUGCCUCCUGCCCUCAAAUAUCAGACUCCAUGUUAUUCAGCUUUUGGACUCAGACUUACACCAGUGAUUUGCCAGAGGCUUAGGGGCCUUCAGCCACAGACUGAAGGCUGCACUGUUGGCUGCCCUACUUCUGAGGUUUUAGGACUCAGACUGGCUUCCUUGCUCCUCAGCUUGCAGAUGGCCUAUUAUGGGACUUUGCCUUGUGUUUGUGUGAGUCAGUAUUCCUUAAUAAAUGCUCCUUCAUAUAUACAUCCAUCCUAUUAGUUCUCUCCCUCUUGAGAACCCUGACUAAUACAGGUUUCAAGGAAAGCAUGGCUACCUUGCAAUGGAAUUGAGAGUAAAUAAACAUGGCCCAGAAAUCCUGUAUUUACGGAGAAGAAAAAAUAACCCUAUAUCGAGAAAAUUUCUAUUAGCAUGGACUAAAAAUGAUGUGACUUUUUGAAAUAUAAAACUGUCUCCAGUCUCCUCCUACCCCAACCUUCUAAAGGAGGGUGCAGGCUGAGAGGGUGGCUCAGUCACCAAAUAAGGCAUAUUCUCCAAUGCCCUCUUUAGAAGCGACCAAGGGGGAUUUUGGCUAAGGACUUUCCAAAGGGUGGAGCCAAAAACCACAGAGAAAUAAUGAACUGAGAUUUGGGAAGCUAUGCCCUGGGAGCAGUAAUGGAGGUCUGAGCCAGUAAGAAUAUUCCCUUCUCCCAAGGUAGGGGAAUGUGGCAACAUUCAUUGACCAGGAUUUCACAGUGGCUAUAAACCAUGGUGCACCUCACUCUUUUCAUAUGAAAAUGAUGCCAGCCGGGGAUGAGAUUUGAAAGGAUCUUGGGAUGGAUGUGAGCACCUGUGGGAGGGAUGUGAACAAUGGUAAUGGAAAGCAGACUGGGGUUGAUUGAAUUAUUGGUGCCAGUUCUUUUUUCCCUCAUAUGAGAAUUAGAAAUAACACAUUUUUGCCAUCUUCUCAUAACAAGCAGAGGGUGUUUUCCCACCUCUCACGUUUGGCUGGGCCAUGUGACUAGCUUUGGCCAAUCAGAAGUUAUCAGACAUGAAGCAAGCAGAUGCUUACAAUGUGCUGUGUGGUUGCACUCACUCUCCUGCCCACUACAAGACUCCCAUGAGAAGAGCUUCCCCCUGUAGCAGAUACCCUGUCAACCUGGGCUCCAAAAUGAACACAAUGCAACAUACCUGAGCCGGGACCUGCAACCUGCAGCCAAGGCCAGUUUACCUGAAGCCAAAAGCAGAGUCUCAUGCCAGAUAACCUGCAAACAUAAGCAAAAGAAGUAAAUGUUUCUUGUUUUCUGUCACACGAUUUAAUGUUUGUUAUGCAGCUUUAUUUAGGCAAUAGCAGACUAAGAUAUGUAUUUUCCCAUGUCAUUUUAUAUUCUUUAAAUAUCACUCUUGUAAAUACAUUGAUUCCACUGAAAAAUUUCACUUAGUUAACUAUUUCCUGAUUCUGAAAUAUUAGUUUUUUUCCUAAAUCUAUUUUUGACCUCUAUUUUUUGUUUCUUAUAACAAUGCUAUUAAUAAGAUAUUAAUGCAUAAUGUUGUCCAUACUUUGAUUUAUUUUCAUAGGGUUGAAACUAGAUAAUAACAUCUGCUUCACAGGGCUGUUGUGAUGAUUAAAAGACUUAAAAAAUUAAGUGCUGAGCAUAUUAUCUUUCAGGUAAUAAGCAUUCAGUAAUGAUUGUUGUUGUUUUUUGUUGUAGAGUUCCAAAAGUUGGAAAAACAAUUUAAAGCUCUUAAUAUUUUCCAAAAGUUAUAUCAAUUUAUACUGCUAACAGCAUCAUAUGAGUUUUAGCAUACCUUCAAACAACUCCAUUAUUUUAACUUUGGCUAUUUUGAGAGUUGAGAACUAACAUCUUGCUGAUAUUUUAAUUUUUAUUGUUUUUAUUACAAGUGAGGUAGAAAUUCUUAUAAAUUGUCUAACCAUUUAUAUUUUCUCUUCUGCAAAUUACCAGGUAACAUGUCCAUUUAACAUGUUCAUUUCCAUCCAGUCAUGAUGUUGGUCUUCCUCUGACCUGAUAGGCUUACCUGAUGCCAAAGACCUGAUUGAUUUUCAUGCUGUUCAAUAUAAUAGUCACCUGUGGCAACUGGACACUUGAAGUGUUUCUAAUGCCACAAGUUGAUAUGAUAAUAUUUUUUAUAUACUCUUUUUUUUGUUGCCUGAAUUCAUAAUCGUGAAGCUCAUUUGCCUUAGGGAAGUAUCUGCAGCACAUCUUUAAUGCCAGACCAGCUCCUUCCGCUGUUCUUGCCCCUUUCCAGCAAGCUACUUCCCACCUCCCCCAACAUCCCCAUGGCUGCCCAGGAAUUAAAAGCAAUUUGAAUAUGUAAUCAUGUGGAAUAAUAAACACAAGUGUACUCUCUGGGGUGCUCUCUGGCUGCUACUGUCUCUUUGCAACUAGUUUCCUAAGUGCCUUUGAGAGAUGCUGAGAACGCCAUGUUGACAGUUAACCUUUUAACAGUUUUGCCAUUUUCUGUUCACCCUGGCUACAAGCCCAGCUCUAAAGGAGGCACAGGAAGUGGGGUGAAGGAAGGGUUUCCUUCCUUCUAAGACUCACUGGAGACACAUUCUCCAUAGCCUGAGGAAGAGAGUUGGGCAGGCUUUGAAUAGUGUAUUUUUAAAACAUUCAUUAUUCUGACAAUGGAGUUUCAUGAAACUAGCUUUUAUUCCUUGUAUUCAAGUUAAAUAGAGAUUUUUCAAAACACAUUACCAUACCAGGAAGUAAAUAACUAUUGCCUUGUUUUAUGAAUAUGAGAAAUUUCUGUGAAAAUGCCUAAAUAUUUUGAUUUAUUUAAAAGUAGAUGAGCUGAUGUGUAGGUAUUUACAACAUCAAAGUACUUUGAUUGAAUCAGUUUCAAAAAUGCAACAUAAAAGGUAGAGCAUUCAUCUUAAAUAGCAAUUUAGAAGUGGUUGCUUUGGGUAUUCUGUGGCUUUCAAAAUCUGAUUAUUUUGAUACUGAUACUGAUGUUUUGAUGCAAACACUAGAGUGAUCAAUUUGGUGGAUGUGAGGGAAGGACCUCCCUCUGUAUCUAGCACUCCUUAUUAAAAUGUAAAAGCACCCACUGUACCCCUUGAAUAUAUGAGAAUAAUGAACAGUACCAGUAAAUAUCUCAAUUGCAAU